This 621-nucleotide ribosomal RNA is filed under the name Triticum aestivum (bread wheat). RNAcentral describes it as "partial small subunit ribosomal RNA". Lineage: Eukaryota; Viridiplantae; Streptophyta; Magnoliopsida; Poales; Poaceae. The record is from RNAcentral.
AUGUCCUCUACGUUUCUGGUUGCGUUGUGCCAAGCCAUCGACCUGCGCCACCUUGAAGAGAAUGUCAAGAACGCCGUCAAGAAUUGUGUCACAAGAGUAGCCAGGAAGACCCUGAUCACAAAUGACAUGGGUGGCCUCCACAACGCUCGUUUUUGUGAGAUGGACUUGCUUCAGACAAUCGACCGGGAGGCGGUGUUUGCAUACGCAGACGACCCUUGCAGCGCCAACUACCCUCUCAUGAAGAAGAUGCGUGCGGUGCUGGUGGAGCACGCCUUGGCCAACGGCGAGGCUGAGCGCAACGCGGAAACCUCAGUGUUUGCCAAGGUUGCUACAUUCGAGCAGGAGCUCUGCGCGGCACUGCCUCAGGAGGUCGAGGCUGCUAGAGGUGCAGUGGAGAAUGGCACCGCCGCAGAACCGAACCGUAUCGCUGACUGCCGGUCAUACCCUCUGUACCGGUUCGUGCGCAAGGAGUUAGGGACGGUGUACUUGACCGGAGAGAAGACACGGUCACCUGGGGAGGAGGUGGACAAAGUGUUCAUUGCCAUGAACCAGGGAAAGCACAUCGACGCUCUGCUGGAGUGCCUGAAGGAGUGGAACGGCGAGCCUCUGCCUAUCUGCUAA